RNAcentral lists this long non-coding RNA (288 nucleotides) under Capsella rubella. Its description in RNAcentral is "long non-coding RNA (CRUB_LNC000553)". The record is from RNAcentral. Lineage: Eukaryota; Viridiplantae; Streptophyta; Magnoliopsida; Brassicales; Brassicaceae.
GCUAAAUGACUUAUCUAGUGUUGUUUGGGGUUAGUAUAUGUUAGAAUACAAUAAAUUUGAUUGAUUACUAGUGCUAGAUAUGCAUGAAGAGUGUUUAGAAGUGUGGAGAAAGACUUGUUCAAAUUGGGUCCCAAAGGGGCUAAGAACUCGGAAACAUUGCGUUGAACCACUACAUGACUUAUAUAGGGUUGUUUGGGGUUAGAAUAUGUUAGAAUGCAAUGAAUUUGAUUGAUUACAAGUGCUUGAGAUGCAUGAAGAGUGUUUAGAAGUGUGUAGAAAGACUUGUUG